This 367-nucleotide long non-coding RNA is filed under the name Monodelphis domestica (gray short-tailed opossum). Its description in RNAcentral is "lncRNA (ENSMODG00000039442.1)". Lineage: Eukaryota; Metazoa; Chordata; Mammalia; Didelphimorphia; Didelphidae. The record is from RNAcentral.
CUUCCUUCCUUCCUUUCUUCCUUCCUUCCUUCCUUCCCUUCUUUCUUUCUUUCUUUCUUUCUUUCUUUCUUUCUUUCUUUCUUUCUUUCUUUCUUUCUUUCUUUCUCUUCCUUCCUUCCUUUUUCUUUCUCUCUCUCUUUCUUUCUCUCUUUCUUUCUUUCUCUCUUUCUUUCUUUCUUUCUUUCUUUCUUUCUUUCUUUCUUUCUUUCUUUCUCUCUCUCGCUCUCUCUCUCUCUCUUUCUUUCUUUCUCUUUCUGUUUCUUCCUUCCUUCUUUCUUUUAUAUCCUUCCUUCUGUAUCUCACAUGACUGAGAUAUUAUUCUUGCUCUCAUUCACUGAUAUCUGGUGUUGUGUCUGGUUUCUCAAAA